UAUUUUAUUAGUAUAAUAAUUACAUUUAGCUUCCAACUAAAAAAUCUUUUGAUAAAAU
Molecule: transfer RNA, 58 nt
Filed under: Leptynoptera sulfurea
Lineage: Eukaryota; Metazoa; Arthropoda; Insecta; Hemiptera; Triozidae
Description: tRNA-Gly
Source: RNAcentral